AACGAACGCUGGCGGCAUGCCUAACACAUGCAAGUCGAACGAGACCUUCGGGUCUAGUGGCGCACGGGUGCGUAACGCGUGGUAACCUGCCCUUAGGUUCGGAAUAACUCCCCGAAAGGGGUGCUAAUACCGGAUAAUGUCUUCGGACCAAAGAUUUAUCGCCUUUGGAUGGGCCCGCGUUGGAUUAGCUAGUUGGUAGGGUAAAAGCCUACCAAGGCGACGAUCCAUAGCUGGUCUGAGAGGAUGAUCAGCCACACUGGGACUGAGACACGGCCCAGACUCCUACGGGAGGCAGCAGUGGGGAAUAUUAGACAAUGGGCGAAAGCCUGAUCCAGCAAUGCCGCGUGAGUGAUGAAGGCCUUAGGGUUGUAAAGCUCUUUUACCCGGGAUGAUAAUGACAGUACCGGGAGAAUAAGCUCCGGCUAACUCCGUG
This 433-nucleotide ribosomal RNA is filed under the name uncultured bacterium. RNAcentral's name for it is "partial 16S ribosomal RNA". It matches the Rfam family "Bacterial small subunit ribosomal RNA", at positions 29 to 507 of the family's 1533-position model. The record is from RNAcentral.